CUUUUAGCGAGCCUUGGGCUUUGUCCAUGGUCUUGCAAACUCUGUAUUUAAAACCCGCUCAUAAAUUUAAAACAUAAACUUUUGUUAUUAUUAUUAUAAUAAAGAUCACUUUCAACAACGGAUCUCUUGGCUCUCGCAUCGAUGAAGAACGUAGCGAAGUGCGAUAAGUAUUGUGAAUUGCAGAAUCCGUGAAUCAUCGAAUUUUUGAACGCAAAUUGCACUCUCUGGUAUUCCGGAGAGUAUGCCUGUUUGAGGGUUGGUUUAAAUAACAAUCGAUAUGUUGCUUUAUGACAUUUCGGAGUUGGGUCAUCUUAAUCUUAACUUUAAGGGACCUAAAAUUGAUGUUCUUGCACAUCUUGACGUGUAUAAUUUUUUUUAUCUCGUCACCGGAUGCCAGGUAUUAUUAGGUGUGACUAUGCUAAGUGGUUUCAUGCCUAUAGGAU
RNAcentral lists this ribosomal RNA (443 nucleotides) under fungal sp. 13 GM 01-27. Its description in RNAcentral is "eukaryotic LSU rRNA". The stretch from base 107 to 259 matches the Rfam family "5.8S ribosomal RNA". Lineage: Eukaryota; Fungi. The record is from RNAcentral.